GCGCGCGCCCUGGAGUCCUGUCCUGGUUCUGGCGGCUGAGGGCCGGGUGGCGCAGGCGGCCUCCGGCUGUGCCCAUGGGAACUAAAACCUUCGGUUCUAGAAGAGCCGGGGGAGAGGCUCCGGGAAGACCGAAUUCUUCAGAAAUCGCAGAGAGACCUUGGACCGGAUCCUUCCCUGCAGGGCUGCGUCGGGGAAGCGCCGGCACAAGUAUAUUCAGCGACUUCCUUGGAAGCGCCUACGUUAGAAUACUACAAACUUACAAGCUAGUUGAUCAGUUUACCUCCCACUAGAAAAGACAGUAUGGGAAGGCAGAGGCCGCGUGGCCUGGACCCCCGUCUUUGCUGUCAGGCUUCCAGAGUGAAGCCUCUCCUUCCUGGAAAUUGCCAUCACCAGCGGCCAUAGCACCCCCAUGGGACCUGGGGGAUGGAGUUGGAAGCCCCCUCCGGCAACACUGGCCAGAUUGGAGAGACCAGCAGGGAAGCUCCCUCCUACCCCCAGGGAGGCUGAAGCCAGCUCUCCAUGGGCACGAAACCUGGAACCCAGGACCCUGGGGGGCAGCCCUGCCCUCCUCGCUCUUCACCCCACUUCAGAGAACUGUGACCCACUGGAGGCUGGGAUUUGAGAUGAGAGGUCACCCUCGGAGUUGGCUCCAGCUGCUGCCUCUGCCUGGGACCCCUCCUUGGGAGUUGGGUGGCAGGGCCUUGCUGGGGGCACUUCCCUUCGCAUCUGGAUUUUGGCCUCGGGCCCAGGGCUAUGGGGGUUUCCAGAGUGGUGACAGCCUUGUCCUAGCAGGGACCAGCCCAAGCACUUCCUCCCAGAGCCCUCUGGGAGCGUCCCAGCCCCAAGGCUGUCAUUUUGUCGUAGGGAGUAAAUUGUGGAGUCAGCAGAGGCUGUCUUCCACACUUUCUGUGC
Molecule: long non-coding RNA, 912 nt
Filed under: Homo sapiens (human)
Lineage: Eukaryota; Metazoa; Chordata; Mammalia; Primates; Hominidae
Description: novel transcript, antisense to POLA2
Source: RNAcentral